Misgurnus anguillicaudatus (oriental weatherfish) is the source of this 977-nucleotide non-coding RNA. The record is from RefSeq and is a predicted model, not a curated record. Lineage: Eukaryota; Metazoa; Chordata; Actinopteri; Cypriniformes; Cobitidae.
UUUACGAUAUUAUAUAUUCUAAGGUUUGUGCCUAUGUUCUUAGAAUAUUUUCAAGCCGAGAUAAGAUUUACACAAAUUAAUAUACUUGUGGUAGUGCCUGUUGAAAUAAAUAAAUGAACAAAGAAAUAAAGUGACAAAAAUUCAGGGAUUAAGAACCCAUGUAAUAGCUGGAUGACAAAAUGGUUUGGGCAAUACAGCGCACUGAUAACCUCAUUGAUAAUGUCUAUUGCGGUGGCGGCAGCAAUAAUAGUAAACUGUGGAUGUUGUUGUAUGCCAUGUAUCAGAUCUUUGUGUAACAGGUGUAUCGUGAAGACGGUGGAGGGAAAGGAUCCUCCACCGUAUCAGAUGCCACUGCUAGGAGGAGGAUGAACCAGUGGUUGAUCUCCUGUAAAGGAGAUCAAAAGGGGGAAUGAAGGAAAAUGAGAACAUUUCCCACAUCAGUAUAUCCUUUCAUUAUUAAUAAUUGCAUUGCUUCUAAUAUUAUAAAGCAGUUAUGAGUAUUAAUAUUUAGCAGUUUAUCACAUAGUUUUGAAAUUAGUUUUGUUUAUGAUUGGUCUUAUUUGUUGUGCAUGAUCAAAGCUUAUAUAUGAAUCCAUUGCAUUUGACUCUAAAAGGUCAUGUCUGCAGAUUUUGGAGGCUUGCAGUCUUGUGUGGUAUGUAUGUAUGUGUGUUUUUUAACUUUUGCUUUGCAGAGACACCUGGGGAGAAAAACAGGAUGUCGGGGCGACAGGGUGAACUAAAGGUCAAUGUUGUUUAUAGCAGCAUGAACUUCUAAGACAGAAGUAAAACUUUCCAUCGAACGGGCCCCCACCCAACUACACAUAUAUAUUUUUGGGGUCAGAGGGAAAGGCAGAUCAGAUCAACCGCUCCUCGGGGGACCUGAUUCUGCAUUGGUGUUGUGUAAAGAUAGGGACAGUUUUGACCCAGAGCUCUGUAAUACUUCAUUUGAGAUACUUAUUAAAAAUAAUUUGAUUUGA